Molecule: ribosomal RNA, 459 nt
Filed under: uncultured bacterium
Lineage: Bacteria
Description: partial 16S ribosomal RNA
Rfam family: Bacterial small subunit ribosomal RNA
Source: RNAcentral
CCUACGGGUGGCAGCAGUGAGGAAUAUUGGUCAAUGGGCGCGAGCCUGAACCAGCCAAGUCGCGUGAGGGAAGACGGUCCUAUGGAUUGUAAACCUCUUUUGUCGGGGAGCAAAAGACGCCACGCGUGGCGUUCCGAGAGUACCCGAAGAAAAAGCAUCGGCUAACUCCGUGCCAGCAGCCGCGGUAAUACGGAGGAUGCGAGCGUUAUCCGGAUUUAUUGGGUUUAAAGGGUGCGCAGGCGGAAGAUCAAGUCAGCGGUAAAAUUGAGAGGCUCAACCUCUUCGAGCCGUUGAAACUGGUUGUCUUGAGUGAGUGAGGAGUAUGCGGAAUGCGUGGUGUAGCGGUGAAAUGCAUAGAUAUCACGCAGAACUCCGAUUGCGAAGGCAGCAUACCGGCGCGCAACUGACGCUCAUGCACGAAAGUGUGGGUAUCGAACAGGAUUAGAUACCCCGAUAGUC